This 1000-nucleotide ribosomal RNA is filed under the name uncultured bacterium. RNAcentral describes it as "bacterial SSU rRNA". It matches the Rfam family "Bacterial small subunit ribosomal RNA", at positions 353 to 1371 of the family's 1533-position model. The record is from RNAcentral.
AGUGGGGAAUAUUGCACAAUGGAGGAAACUCUGAUGCAGCAACGCCGCGUGGAGGAUGACGCAUUUCGGUGUGUAAACUCCUUUUAUAUAGGAAGAUAAUGACGGUACUAUAUGAAUAAGCACCGGCUAACUCCGUGCCAGCAGCCGCGGUAAUAUGGAGGGUGCAAGCGUUACUCGGAAUCACUGGGCGUAAAGCGCAUGCAGGCGGUUUAUUAAGUUGGAAGUGAAAUCCUAUGGCUCAACCAUAGAACUGCUUCCAAAACUGAUAAACUAGAGUCUGGGAGGGGAAGAUGGAAUUAGUAGUGUAGGGGUAAAAUCCGUAGAGAUUACUAGGAAUACCAAAAGCGAAGGCGAUCUUCUGGAACAGUACUGACGCUGAGAUGCGAAAGCGUGGGGAGCAAACAGGAUUAGAUACCCUGGUAGUCCACGCAGUAAACGAUGAAUGUUAGUCGUUGGGACUCUAGUAGUUUCAGUGAUGCAGUUAACACAUUAAACAUUCCGCCUGGGGAGUACGGUCGCAAGAUUAAAACUCAAAGGAAUAGACGGGGACCCGCACAAGUGGUGGAGCAUGUGGUUUAAUUCGAAGAUACGCGAAGAACCUUACCUAGCCUUGACAUACUACAGAAUUUGACAGAGAUGUUGAAGUGCCUUCGGGAGCUGUAAUACAGGUGCUGCACGGCUGUCGUCAGCUCGUGUCGUGAGAUGUUGGGUUAAGUCCCGCAACGAGCGCAACCCUCGUCCUUAGUUACUAACGGUUCGGCCGAGGACUCUAAGGAGACUGCCUUCGUAAGGAGGAGGAAGGUGAGGACGACGUCAAGUCAUCAUGGCCCUUACGGCUAGGGCAACACACGUGCUACAAUGGUUAGGACAAUGAGAAGCGAUACCGCGAGGUGGAGCAAAUCUAUAAACCUAAUCUCAGUUCGGAUAGCAGUCUGCAACUCGACUGCUUGAAGCUGGAAUCACUAGUAAUCGUAAAUCAGCUAUGUUACGGUGAAUACGU